ACCCUCCGGUUCCCUUUCCCAUCAGAUCUGAGCCCCGGUGUUGGGGUUGUAAAAGGAGGGAAAGUAACACUGAACCUGGCCUCACAGCUUUGUAGCAUGUGGGCUGAUUUCAAACAAGG
Molecule: small nucleolar RNA, 119 nt
Organism: Phyllostomus hastatus (greater spear-nosed bat)
Lineage: Eukaryota; Metazoa; Chordata; Mammalia; Chiroptera; Phyllostomidae
Product: small nucleolar RNA SNORA61
Exons: 1
Source: RefSeq, a predicted model, not a curated record